UUGUUUUUUUGCUCUUUGGGGCCACGCUGCGUUUGUGAACUGUAACACUCACCGCAAAGGUCUGCAGCUUCACUGCUGAAGCCAGCGAGAAGGCCACAAACCCACCGGGAGAAACAACCAAGUCCAGACUCGUCACAUUAAGAGCUGUAAUAUUCACCGCGAAGGUCUGCAGCUUCACUCCUGAGUCAGCAAGAUCACGAAUCCACCAGAAGGCUGAACGCAUCCGAACAUCAGAAGGAACAAACUCUGGAUACGCCGCCUUUAAGAACUGUAACACUCACCGCGAGGGUCCGUGGCUUCAUUCUUGAAGUCAGUGCGACCAAGAGCCCACCAAUUCCGGACGCAACAGGACACCCUGCGGCUUCUCCCUGGCUUUUUCAAAGUUCAGCCCAAGAGGAAGAGAGACCUAGUUAAUACUCAGGAGAUGGUGGCAUCUGUUUCUUCUAGCUGGGACAACUAAGGCCCCGAGAGGAGAAAGGGACCAUCCGGGGUACAGAGGCCACUGAGUGAGAGCCAGGACCAACAUCCCAUCAGCUCUCCCUCUUCAGCGCGGACCCCAACUCACCAGCGGUGGCUUCCUGAAGAGCUGGGUUAAGGAGGAUUCUGAGCUGCAGUAGAGCUCAAUAAGAGAGGCUGACGGGUAAGGGGUGCUGCGCUUUGAGCACAGGAACCGGUGACACAGAUCAGAUGCUGCUGCUGUCGUGGCUGCCACCACAAGAAACAAGAGUGUUGGAGUGCAAAUUCAUUAUCCAGCUGUUAAGAGCGACAGAGCAUGCACACAUCUCUCCCCGACUGGGGUAUCUGAGAGUCAGCCCUGCUGUAUGAUUGAGUGGCUGCCAGCCUCCUCUUUGUAACCUUGACACGCCAGAGCCGGGCCUCCAG
This 882-nucleotide long non-coding RNA is filed under the name Pongo abelii (Sumatran orangutan). Its description in RNAcentral is "lincRNA". Lineage: Eukaryota; Metazoa; Chordata; Mammalia; Primates; Hominidae. The record is from RNAcentral.